Molecule: long non-coding RNA, 6119 nt
Filed under: Solanum lycopersicum (tomato)
Lineage: Eukaryota; Viridiplantae; Streptophyta; Magnoliopsida; Solanales; Solanaceae
Description: long non-coding RNA (SLYC_LNC000497)
Source: RNAcentral
UUCAUUGAAAGAUUUAAACCAAAAUAUAUUUUACAAAAUAAUUGAAACAAGAAUUCAUGUGAAAAAAUACAAGGAGAAUGAACAAAAACAAACCUAAUUAUGUCAAUCAUUAAUGACAGAUUCUCAUAACCCGACAUUUUUGUCGAGACAAUUUAAAAAUUUAAUGCAUCCAACAGAGUAUAUAUACCUCUGCAAAAAAGAGAAAGUUAGAGGAGAUACAAAGAAUUACAAAGAUAAAAAGGAAAUGAUACCUACUACAACGAGUUGAGAAAGAGAAGAGUAUAUAGCGUUUGGAGAUAUUUCAUAGAGCGAGGAGACGGAAAGUAAGUCAAGUUCAAACCAACUCAAGGAGAAAACGUGUUGAUGAAAGAGGCGGAGUGAAAUGACAAGUAUCUGGAAACCCUACCAUUUAGAAUCAUUUAUAGAGUGGUCUAUUUCCUAUUUUUGAUGGACCUAGUUAGGUUGUACUUGUUUGAUUUAUUUGGGCUUAUGUUGGGCCUUUUUGUACAAAAUUUUUGAAAUGGAAUAAAGGAGCUAGACGCUCUGCAAUUUUAUUUUUAAAGAAAAGUAAAAGUGAUAUGAUUUUUAUAAGAACUAGAAAAUUUUUAUUAUUAUGAUAGGACAAAAUAACAAAAUAUUUAUAUAUAUAAUUGUACCAUAGAGAUUGUAGUUGAUUUUAAUUAAUUUAAUUAAUUCAAUAGAUUGGAAAUUUCAAACUUGUACAUGGUAACUUUGUUUGUUAGUCAUAGAUAAAUAUGAUUUGUUUGACACACUUUUUAUGGAGUAAUGAUUAGUUGAAAUAUCUCUAAACUCGUUAACUCAUUUGGAAAUUAAAAUAUUAUUUUUCUUAAUAUAAAAAGUAACCCAUUUGGAAAUCAAAAUAUUAUUUUUCUCAAUGUAAAAAGAGUGAUACAUUUGGGAAUACUUAGUUCCCUUAUACUCUUACUCAAAUUAUGUUUAAAACUCUUUUGUCAAAACUUAUCUUUACUUGCUCCGAAAAUCAGUUUAAGACAAAAAUGUUUGCUUUAUUCAUGCUGAAUUAUAAACAUGAACACCUCAACUCAAGGAUAUCAAUAACAAUAUAGAGAACUCAAUACUAAGAAAUCAAAAACUCAGAAUUCGACGAUGUUACUCACCUUAUAAAUACUUAAAAUUAAUGAUAAAAUCCUAGAUUACUCUUUUACUGAAUUUAGAUAGAUGUAGGGCGUGAGGACAAACUUAGUCCACCAUUAUGAUAGCCUUACAUACACUGAAGAACAUAGUUCUUAGUGAAAUCGAUGAAAAGUCGAAGAACGCUCAAAACCUUAGCUUUCUCCUCUUGGAUCCUUGCUUUAAGACUUGGAAGCAUUAAUGAACGUAAAGGAUUGAUUAACACUGUUCAAACCCUUAACUAGUUUUAAAAGCUGGAAAAAAAAUCUUCAUGGAUCAUUCGUGGUUUGAUCUACGGACGUAAAUCCAAUCUCUGAAAUUUGUAUUGAAUUUUAAGACUCAAAUUUUAUUCUAUGAGUUCAAUCUACAUUCUACGUGUAAACCUACUUAAAAUAUGUGAGUCCAAUAGUACUUAGGGAUCAUAAGCCUAUAGCAUUUUGUGUUUUUUUAGUCCUCUUGGUAAAAUCCAUGAUUUUAAUGUUACUUAUAGGAUAAUCUUGAAUUCCCAUACAAAUAGCUUUCAAAAGGAGCUAACUCCAGGUGAUAUUGGAUUUUAUAGGCUUAUAUACCUAAGAAUAUCCAACAAAGUAUUUUCUUCAAAGAGGACAUGGGUUUUUAUGAUGCAUAAAGAGACUAUGAAAAUUUAUAUAUUGUUAUUGUAAAAGAAAUAAAAAUUAUAUACACAAAGGGUUGGCACAAAUUUGUUAAAGCUAAAGGUUUAAGAGCAAAAGAUACAAUUAUUUGCGAAAAUAAUUGUACUUUACUCCUAAAUCUCCGGCUUUCACAAACUUAUGCCAACCCUUUUCGAAAAUAAAUUUUUUGAUUUCUUUUGCAACAAUACAUUAACUUUCAUAGUCUUCUUGAUAUAUCAUAAAAUCUCACGUUCACUUUGAAUUUAAGAAAAAGAAAUACUCCAUUCGUUUCAAAUGAACUUUCAUAAUCUUCUUGAUACAUCAUAAAAUCUCACGUUCACUUUGAAUUUAAGAAAAAGAAGUAAUCCCUCCGUUUCCAAAAGGAUGACCUAGUUUGACUUGGAACAGAGUUUAAGAAAAGAAAAAAAACUUUUAAUCGUGUGGUUCUAAAUUAAAGUUAAUAAUGGACAAUAUAAUAGAUGGUAUCACUCAAUUAAUGUUUAUUAUCAUAGAAAGACAUUCUUCUUGUUGAUUUUCAAUUUUUUUAACAAGUAAAUGACUUUCUGGGAUGAUAAAUAUUAGCUGAGUGACCAUUUGGGAGGUCAACACAAUUCUCUCUUAAAUGCUACUUUUUUUUCUUUUCAAAUUUCACAAAAUUUAUGUCCAAACGUCAAUCAAAAUAAAAGACUUUCUCUGUUUUUACAAGUCAAAAGAGAAAAAAAACUAUGUGGAUAUUCAUUGAAAGAUUUAAACCAGAAUAUACUUUGCAAAAUUAUAGAAAUAAGAAUUCAUGUGAUAAAAUACAAAGAGAAUGAACAAAAACAAACCUAAUUAUGUCAAUCAUUAAUGACAGAUUCACAUAACCUGACAUCUUUGUCGAGACAAUUUAAAGAUCUAUUUCAUCUACCAGAGUAUAUAUACCUCUGCAAAAAAAGAGAAAGUUAGAGGAGAUACAAAGAAUUAGAAAGAUAAAAAAGAAAUGAUACCUACUACAACGAGCUGAGAAAGAGAAGAGUACACAUAAAUGUUCCAUAGAGCGAGGAGGGGGAAACUAAGUCAAGUUCAAACCAACUCCAGGAGAAAACUUGUUGAUAAAAGAGGCGGAGUGAAAUGAUGAGUAUCAGGAAACCCUACCAUUUAGAAUCAAUUUAUAGAGUGGUCUAUUUCCUAUUUUUGAUGGACCCUGUUAGGCUGUACUUAUUUGAUUUAUUUGGGCUUAUGUUGGGCCUUUUUGUACAAAAUUUUUAAAAUGGAAUAAAGGAGCUAGAUGCUCCGCAAUUUUAUUUUUAUAGAAAGGUAAAAGUGAUAUGAUUUUUAUAAGAACUAGAAAAUUCUUAUUAUUAUGAUAGGACAAAAUAACAAAAUUAUUUAUAUAUAUAAUUGUACCAUAGAGAUUGUAGUUGAUUUUAAUUAAUUAAUUAAUUCAAUAGAUUAGUUGGAGAAUUGAUGAAAGUUUCAAACUUGUACAUGGUAACUUUUUUUGUUAGUCAUAGAUAAAUAUUUUUAAUUUGAACACUUUUUAUGGAGUAGUGAUUAGUAGAAUGACUUGAAAAAAAAAUAUGAAUUUGUGAGUUAAAGUGAAACAUUUUUUGAAUAAAUUAUUUUUAAAAGAUAUAUUUUCCAAAUCUAAUGCAAAAUCUAUAAUCAAACACUUGUUAAAUAUAUAAGAAUCACAUCACAUAGUUUAAAUAAGGAAAAUGAAUUAUUUUACAAAAGAUCAUAAUCGAUUUAAAAUUCCUAUAUACAAUUGUCAUUUGCAUAACUUAAAUAAUAAAAUAUUUUCUAGCCAAAAUCAUUGUUGACAUAAUAUUUUUUAUAUAUUAGAAAAAUAUUAUAUUAUAAUCUUAUUUAAAUUUUUUUCUCAAAACAUAAAAAAAUUGACCUAACAAAGACGCGUGUGCUUUUUGAUCACAAGAGGGAAAAAUGUAUCUCUAAAUUGGAGAUAUAUCUUCUAAGAUUAUGACCUAAGUAAAUAGUUCACACUUCAUAAAUUUAAAUGAACAUAUACUACCUAAACAUUUUAUUCGUCAAAAUAAAUAAUCUUAUAAGACAUAUACAAAAAAUAUUAAGAUUAGACUCACUAUUUAUAAAAUUUUUAAAAAUAACAAUUUGCAAUAAAGUACUAAUUUACUUCUAAUAUUAAAAUUAUUUAUAGAGAAAAACUAUUCAAAAUAUCUAUUAAAAAAAUAAUUAAAUUUUAUUUUUAAAAAAAUUAAAAUUUACAUGUAUAAUUUUCAUUCAAUAUUACACGUUUUUGGGAGGAUAAAAAAAUUAUUUUUCUUCUUUUAAUCUUGUAAAAAUAUUAUUGUUACCUUUUUACUAUUUUACAAAAUAAUAUGUAAUAUAAUAUAUAGUAUAAAAAAUAAUAAUAUAUAAUGUAAAAUAAAUUAUAACAUAAUGUUGGAGAUUACAGAGCAAUGACACAACGAAAAUAUAGAGUGAUCGACAUACCUCCAACCAUUGCUAGCGAUAUAGUUGGAGUCUACAAUUCUUCUUUUCUUCAAGAAUCUUCUAAGCACUCAAAAUCUCACUCUUAGAUGAUAUAAAGUUUUUAGAAUGUAAUGUGCUUAGGGACCUUUGAACCAAAUAACAUAUUUAUAACCGUCCUUCCAUCAAAAACGGUUAAAAGGUCAUGUGAAGUUACCAACCACUUAGUAGGAUAGUGGAUUCAUGUAGUGGGAUAAUCGGUAUUUAACCAUUAUCAAUGGGCAGUUAACCAUUAUCUCAUUAGGUAGUUAACUAGCUUCCCAUUAGUGGAAUAAUGGGUCCAUGAAGUGGAUAAUGGACCAUCUAAUACGGACCAUAUCAGCAUUAACAAAAAUGCUAACACAUUCUCAUAUAAAAACGGAAAAAUAAGAUUCUUAAAUAUUUUUAACCAAACCUAUUAAUAUGUUAAUUAAUUAAUAAGAAAUAUAUUAAUAAGUGUAUACAUAAAAAAUAAUAUUUUAGUCUUGAGAAAAAUAAUUUUUUGUUUCAGCGUCGAUUUUCUUUUUUAAGCAAAAAUUUUUAGCUUCUUUCCAAUAGCAAAAAAAUUACUUCUAUUUCUAUUUAAAAACUUUUACUGAUUUGUCGAGCAUUUAAUUUUUCAAUAAAAGUACUUUUUUCCCCUCAAAAUAAAUGCUUUAGAUCGUUCGAUAAUAAUGCCAAACAGACUGUAAUAUUGAGUAUAAUAUUACUAUAUAACUCAAUCACUAUCUCAUACAAAAUAAUUAAAAAUCAAUAAGGCAGUCUAUUUAAACAACUAAAUACUCUACCAAUACACAGAGAUAAUAGAACCAAAAAAUAUAAUUGUAAAACUUACUUUAGGCAUAAAAUCAAAACCAUAAGACUUCACAUUGUAGUGAUAAAUGAAUGAAAAUAUUGAGGAAAUAUAAUUUCUAUAGAAGAAGAUUAAAAAUAAUAUCGACAUAUGUAAUGAUUAUUCACUUCAAUUAGAAAUUCAAAUGAUUUGCAUACAUGAAUCAUAAGGAGAUUAGAGAAAUUAUUUUCUAUAUAUUCUUAAUUUUAGGAAAAAUAUAUCGUGAAAUAAAGUAAUGAAAUUACAAAAAUCAUGACAAAACAUUCUGAACAAAUUUAAUAACUAUAAUAAAAUAAUAUAAUAAUCGAAAUACAGGAGAUUAUAAAUGUAUAAAAAAUUUAAAUUAAUUGAUAAGAAAAAUGAAUUUCAUUCUACAACCAGACAAAAUAAUUUAAAAAAAAUAAAAUCUCACCAAAAUGGAGACACCAAUUGGGGAUUAGAUAGAUGAGAUGAAAAAUACAAAAUUGAUACUCAUCCCAAUAUCUCAGUUGGUAUUUAUAAUCGAAAGCACUGAAUAUGUAUUUAUGGGAAUAUGAAAUAAUGUUCAUUAAAUACAAUAAAUAUAGGUUAAAAUAUAUUUUAAUUAAUUUAAAAUUGUUCUGUGAUAGACAUUAAAGCGUAUUAAUUGUCUAUUUAAUUGAAUAAUUAUGUUAUGAUCCCUUUUUAAUAGAGAAAAUUAUAGGGGAUAUUAAACUAUUAAUUGAAAUUAAAUGUUAUAACUAUAGUUUAUGUUAUUUAUAAUUCACAUUAAAUAUUCUAUUUUUUUUAAUCUUAGCCAUUUUCAGUAUACAAUUACCCAUUUGAUAUACAAAUAUAUAAAAAGCGUUUGUGAUUGUAUAAAACGAGAAAAAAGUGUAAAUACAAAUAUAAAUAUAUAUAUUUUCAUUUUAUACGCUUAUAAUUAUACGAAUACAGAUCUUAUUAUACAAAUUAUAAUGCAAUAUAUUCAAUUUAUACAAAAUUAAACAGUUUGUAUAAAGUUGAAUGUAUCUAGAGAAUUAUACAAAUCAAAAGUCUUCAUAGCAAACAUGAAUUUGCUA